RNAcentral lists this ribosomal RNA (819 nucleotides) under uncultured bacterium. RNAcentral describes it as "bacterial SSU rRNA". It matches the Rfam family "Bacterial small subunit ribosomal RNA", at positions 628 to 1447 of the family's 1533-position model. The record is from RNAcentral.
GGAAACCGGGCGACUNGAGUGCAGAAGAGGACAGUGGAACUCCAUGUGUAGCGGUGGAAUGCGUAGAUAUAUGGAAGAACACCAGUGGCGAAGGCGGCUGUCUGGUCUGCAACUGACGCUGAGGCUCGAAAGCAUGGGUAGCGAACAGGAUUAGAUACCCUGGUAGUCCAUGCCGUAAACGAUGAGUGCUAGGUGUUGGAGGGUUUCCGCCCUUCAGUGCCGGAGCUAACGCAUUAAGCACUCCGCCUGGGGAGUACGACCGCAAGGUUGAAACUCAAAGGAAUUGACGGGGGCCCGCACAAGCGGUGGAGCAUGUGGUUUAAUUCGAAGCUACGCGAAGAACCUUACCAGGUCUUGACAUCUUGCGCUAACCUAAGAGAUUAGGCGUUCCCUUCGGGGACGCAAUGACAGGUGGUGCAUGGUCGUCGUCAGCUCGUGUCGUGAGAUGUUGGGUUAAGUCCCGCAACGAGCGCAACCCUUGUUACUAGUUGCCAGCAUUUAGUUGGGCACUCUAGUGAGACUGCCGGUGACAAACCGGAGGAAGGUGGGGACGACGUCAGAUCAUCAUGCCCCUUAUGACCUGGGCUACACACGUGCUACAAUGGACGGUACAACGAGUUGCGAACUCGCGAGAGUAAGCUAAUCUCUUAAAGCCGUUCUCAGUUCGGACUGUAGGCUGCAACUCGCCUACACGAAGUCGGAAUCGCUAGUAAUCGCGGAUCAGCAUGCCGCGGUGAAUACGUUCCCGGGCCUUGUACACACCGCCUGUCACACCAUGGAAGUUUGCAAUGCCCAAAGUCGGUGGCCUAACCAUUUGGA